UUAUACAACCUCAACUCAUAUGGGACUACCCCCUGAAUUUAAGCAUAUUAAUUAGGGGAGGAAAAGAAACUAACAAGGAUUUUCUUAGUAGCGGCGAGCGAAAAGAAAUCAGUUCAGCACUAAGUCACUUUGUCUAUAUGGCAAAUGUGAGAUGCAGUGUAUGGAACAUCAAUAUUCUAGUAUGAGAAAUUAACGAUUUAAGUCCUUCUUAAAUGAGGCCAUUUACCCAUAGAGGGUGCCAGGCCCGUAUAACGUUAAUGAUUAUUAGAUGGUGUUUCCAAAGAGUCGUGUUGCUUGAUAGUGCAGCACUAAGUGGGUGGUAAACUCCAUCUAAAACUAAAUAUAACCAUGAGACCGAUAGUAAACAAGUACCGUGAGGGAAAGUUGAAAAGAACUCUGAAUAGAGAGUUAAAUAGUACGUGAAACUGCUUAGAGGUUAAGCCCGAUGAACCUGAAUAUCCGUUAUGGAAAAUUCAUCAUUAGAGUUGUAAUAUUUAAACAAUAUUAUAAUAAUAGUGUGCAUUUUUUCCAUAUAAGGACAUUGUAAUCUAUUAGUAUCAAUAAUUUAUCAAAAAAUUUAAGAAAAUAGUUUAUUUAAAUUAGAAUGCUUGCAUUUUAACAUAAAAUAAAUUUCAUAAAUUUGAUAAAGUGCUGAUAGAUUUAUAUGAAUACAGUGCGUUAAUUUUUCGGAAUUAUAUAAUGGCAUGAUUAUCAUUGAUUUUUAUGUUUAUUAUAUGCACUUGUAUGAUUAACAAUGCGAAAGAUUCAGGAUACCUUCGGGACCCGUCUUGAAACACGGACCAAGGAGUCUAACAUAUGUGCAAGUUAUUGGGAUAAAAACCUAAUAGCGUAAUUAACUUGACUAAUAAUGGGAUUAGUUUUUUAACUAUUUAUAGUUAAUUAACACAAUCCCGGGGCGUUCUAUAUAGGUAUGUAUGAUAAUAUUUAUAUUAUUUAUGCCUCUAACUGGAACCGUCCUUGAGCAUAUAUGCUGUGACCCGAAAGAUGGNGGACU
This 1015-nucleotide ribosomal RNA is filed under the name Drosophila quinaria. RNAcentral describes it as "eukaryotic LSU rRNA". It matches the Rfam family "Eukaryotic large subunit ribosomal RNA", at positions 1 to 832 of the family's 3401-position model. Lineage: Eukaryota; Metazoa; Arthropoda; Insecta; Diptera; Drosophilidae. The record is from RNAcentral.